Molecule: unclassified non-coding RNA, 818 nt
Filed under: Hevea brasiliensis (rubber tree)
Lineage: Eukaryota; Viridiplantae; Streptophyta; Magnoliopsida; Malpighiales; Euphorbiaceae
Source: RNAcentral
CGGCCCAUAGAUUGGGUCGUGACAGGCAGCUUAGUGAUGGUGGUAGUAUUGAUAAUAAAUAAAAAUAUCAAAAUAAGUAAUAAUGACUAUAUCUAUUUUUAUAUAGUGACCAUUACAUUAUUAUAAAUAUCAUUAAUUACGUUAGGCAAUUGUUACUCAAUUACGUUAAAUUUUUUAACAUUACAAAAUAACGUACUUAAAUAUGCAAUGCAAUAGCAAUUACAUUACAAUUUUAAUUAAUUCAUAUCAAAUAUAGCCUAAAUUCAAUAAUUUAUUUUAUUUUAAUAAAUUAACUUCAUAUCUAGUCACGCAGUCAUACAUUAAUCAGUCAAAACUAUGGUCGAUAAACUAUUUAUAUUUAAAGGAAAUUCAACAAAACCCUAUAAUUCAUAUAGAAAUUGGUAUAUGUUCUACUCAAAUAAAAUUCUAGCAUUAUAUAAUUUAGAAUUACUUUAAAAAAAUUAUGCUAACUAUUUCUAAUAUUAUUCCAUCUCCAUUCUCGAUUGCAUCAACUAAAUAUCUAUAAAUAUAUAUAUAUGUACACUCUUUUUAACUUCCCGUAAUAUCUUAAACUUUUUAUAUAUAUAUAUAUUUUUUUAUAUUUAAUAAUAUUCACUAGAAGAUCUUAUCCAAUGAAAAAUACACGCAAUUCUAAAAAUAAUUCAAGAAAUCUAUAUAAAAGUUCUAAUUUCCACACCAACAUAUCUUAAUAUGAAUGCACCAACAUAAACAUUUUAAUUCAAAAUAAAUUUAUUUCAUUUAAAAACUCAUUUUUCAUAUAAACUAAGAGUGCGUUACUUUUUUUUUUUUUUUUUUUU